AAAAUCCGUUGGCUUUANUGACCGUGAGGGUUCAAGUCCCUCUAUCCCCA
Molecule: transfer RNA, 50 nt
Filed under: Hymenoloma crispulum
Lineage: Eukaryota; Viridiplantae; Streptophyta; Bryopsida; Dicranales; Rhabdoweisiaceae
Description: partial tRNA-Leu
Source: RNAcentral